Molecule: ribosomal RNA, 229 nt
Filed under: uncultured bacterium
Lineage: Bacteria
Description: partial 16S ribosomal RNA
Rfam family: Bacterial small subunit ribosomal RNA
Source: RNAcentral
UGCGCAGGCGGGAAAUUAAGUCAGUGGUGAAAGCCCCGAGCUCAACUUGGGAACUGCCAUUGAUACUGAUUUUCUUGAAUAUAGUUGAGGUAGGCGGAAUACAACAUGUAGCGGUGAAAUGCAUAGAUAUGUUGUAGAACACCAAUUGCGAAGGCAGCUUACUAAACUAUUAUUGACGCUGAGGCACGAAAGCGUGGGGAGCGAACAGGAUUAGAUACCCUGGUAGUCC